AACGAGGCCGACCUGCGGCUGAGUUACCUGCGGAGGGAUCAUUACACAAUACAAUAUGAAGGCUGUCCGCAGCUGGAGUAUUUUAUUACCCUUGUCUUUUGCGCACUUGUUGUUUCCUGGGCGGGUUCGCUCGCCACCAGGACCACCAAACAAACCUUUUUUAUGCAGUUGCAAUCAGCGUCAGUACAAACAAUGUAAAUCAUUUACAACUUUUAACAAUGGAUCUCAGAUCGGAAGAGC
RNAcentral lists this unclassified non-coding RNA (240 nucleotides) under soil metagenome. Its description in RNAcentral is "partial contains 5.8S ribosomal RNA, internal transcribed spacer 2, and large subunit ribosomal RNA". The record is from RNAcentral.